GUGCUUGCUUCGGCAGCACAAAUACUGAAAUUGGAAUGAUACAGAGAAGAUUAGCACGACUCCUGUGCUUGCUCAAGAAUGACGUGUAAAUUCGUGAGUGUUCCAUAUUGAA
Molecule: small nuclear RNA, 112 nt
Organism: Arvicanthis niloticus (Nile rat)
Lineage: Eukaryota; Metazoa; Chordata; Mammalia; Rodentia; Muridae
Source: RefSeq, a predicted model, not a curated record